AUUGAACGCUGGCGGCAGGCCUAACACAUGCAAGUCGAACGGUAACAGGAAUCAGCUUGCUGAUUUGCUGACGAGUGGCGGACGGGUGAGUAAUGUCUGGGAAACUGCCUGAUGGAGGGGGAUAACUACUGGGAACGGUAGCUAAUACCGCAUAACGUCGCAAGACCAAAGAGGGGGACCUUCGGGCCUCUUGCCAUCGGAUGUGCCCAGAUGGGAUUAGCUAGUAGGUGGGGUAAAGGCUCACCUAGGCGACGAUCCCUAGCUGGUCUGAGAGGGUGACCAGCCACACUGGAACUGAGACACGGUCCAGACUCCUACGGGAGGCAGCAGUGGGGAAUAUUGCACAAUGGGCGCAAGCCUGAUGCAGCCAUGCCGCGUGUAUGAAGAAGGCCUUCGGGUUGUAAAGUACUUUCAGCGGGGAGGAAGGGAGUAAAGUUAAUACCUUUGCUCAUUGACGUUACCCGCAGAAGAAGCACCGGCUAACUCCGUG
Molecule: ribosomal RNA, 490 nt
Filed under: uncultured bacterium
Lineage: Bacteria
Description: partial 16S ribosomal RNA
Rfam family: Bacterial small subunit ribosomal RNA
Source: RNAcentral